GACGAACGCUGGCGGCGUGCUUAACACAUGCAAGUCGAACGGAAAGGCCCUGCUUUUGUGGGGUGCUCGAGUGGCGAACGGGUGGGUAACACGUGAGUAACCUGCCCUUGACUUUGGGAUAACUUCAGGAAACUGGGGCUAAUACCGGAUAGGAGCUCCUGCUGCAUGGUGGGGGUUGGAAAGUUUCGGCGGUUGGGGAUGGACUCGCGGCUUAUCAGCUUGUUGGUGGGGUAGUGGCUUACCAAGGCUUUGACGGGUAGCCGGUCUGAGAGGGUGACCGGCCACAUUGGGACUGAGAUACGGCCCAGACUCCUACGGGAGGCAGCAGUGGGGAAUAUUGCACAAUGGGCGGAAGCCUGAUGCAGCAACGCCGCGUGCGGGAUGACGGCCUUCGGGUUGUAAACCGCUUUCGCCUGUGACGAAGCGUGAGUGACGGUAAUGGGUAAAGAAGCGCCGGCUAACUACGUG
This 468-nucleotide ribosomal RNA is filed under the name uncultured bacterium. RNAcentral describes it as "partial 16S ribosomal RNA". It matches the Rfam family "Bacterial small subunit ribosomal RNA", at positions 28 to 507 of the family's 1533-position model. The record is from RNAcentral.